ACAGUACAAACUGAGCAGGCGAUGCCUUUCGGAAUCAAAGAUACUUAUCCGAAGGCAUGGGGCCGGGCCGCAGGAAGCGGCAGCGGAUAUGGAAUGUGACUUUACUUUCAGACAUAUCUGCGGGACAGU
This 129-nucleotide non-coding RNA is filed under the name uncultured Blautia sp. Its description in RNAcentral is "NiCo riboswitch". It matches the Rfam family "NiCo (Nickel/Cobalt) riboswitch aptamer". Lineage: Bacteria; Bacillati; Bacillota; Clostridia; Lachnospirales; Lachnospiraceae. The record is from RNAcentral.